RNAcentral lists this ribosomal RNA (303 nucleotides) under uncultured bacterium. RNAcentral's name for it is "partial 16S ribosomal RNA". It matches the Rfam family "Bacterial small subunit ribosomal RNA", at positions 507 to 807 of the family's 1533-position model. The record is from RNAcentral.
AGCAGUAGCCGCGGUAAUACGAAGGGGGCUAGCGUUGCUCGGAAUGACUGGGCGUAAAGGGCGCGUAGGCGGCGGCCAAAGUCAGGCGUGAAAUUCCCGGGCUCAACCUGGGGGCUGCGUUUGAUGCUUGGUUGCUUGAGUGGGGAAGAGGGUCGUGGAAUUCCCAGUGUAGAGGUGAAAUUCGUAGAUAUUGGGAAGAACACCGGUGGCGAAGGCGGCGACCUGGUCCUUUACUGACGCUGAGGCGCGAAAGCGUGGGGAGCAAACAGGAUUAGAUACCCGGGUAGUCCCUGUCUCUUAUAC